UCCGUAUUGUUUUAUGAGUUGGUGGU
Molecule: non-coding RNA, 26 nt
Filed under: Rattus norvegicus (Norway rat)
Lineage: Eukaryota; Metazoa; Chordata; Mammalia; Rodentia; Muridae
Source: RNAcentral